This 66-nucleotide transfer RNA is filed under the name Loxodonta africana (African savanna elephant). It matches the Rfam family "tRNA". From Rfam's summary of the family: Transfer RNA (tRNA) molecules are approximately 80 nucleotides in length. Their secondary structure includes four short double-helical elements and three loops (D, anti-codon, and T loops). Lineage: Eukaryota; Metazoa; Chordata; Mammalia; Proboscidea; Elephantidae. The record is from Rfam by way of RNAcentral.
GGUGGUGUGACAGUUAAGUGCUUGGCUGCUGACCAAAAGUUGGUGGUUAGAAUCCACCCAGCAGCU